Oreochromis niloticus (Nile tilapia) is the source of this 344-nucleotide long non-coding RNA. RefSeq lists it as uncharacterized. NCBI's taxonomy places the organism in Eukaryota, Metazoa, Chordata, Actinopteri, Cichliformes, Cichlidae. The record is from RefSeq and is a predicted model, not a curated record. The transcript is spliced from 3 exons.
UUUCCCACUAGUGGGCAGAAUUACCCCUUGAGUUUGUGGCUUCUUCUUUAGUUAUUUUGUGUGCACUACACUGCCCCCUUUGGUGAUGUGUUGUAAGCAGCAGGAAAAGUUCACGCAGGCAGUGUGAGAAAAUGCCUGGAGCAGAAAACAAGCUGCACAACUUUAAGCCCAGUUUACAUCGCUGGGGAGUUUGUUGAACCAUAAUCUCUGGAUUUAUCAGUUCUGCAGGACGAGCCACAGGAGAGCUCAGGAAUGUGAACCCUGUCACAGGUCUCUAUUCAUCAUCUACCUGAAAUUGAGUGCCAUCAUAUGUUUCUGCUUCACACUGCUGUGACAGGCCGGCC